AACGCACAUUGCGCCCCUUGGUAUUCCAUGGGGCAUGCCUGUUCGAGCGUCAUUUUGUACCCUCAAGCACUGCUUGGUGUUGGGCGUUUGUCCUGCAAAGGACUCGCCUGAAAGCGAUUGGCGGCCAACGUACUGGUGGUAGAGCGCAGCACAAUUUGCGUCUCUCCCCUUCUACGUCGGCGUCCAUGAAGCCUUUUUUCAACGUUUGACCUCGGAUCAGGUAGGGAUACCCGCUGAACUUAA
Molecule: unclassified non-coding RNA, 243 nt
Filed under: uncultured fungus
Lineage: Eukaryota; Fungi
Description: sequence contains ITS2
Source: RNAcentral